Molecule: long non-coding RNA, 523 nt
Filed under: Mytilus galloprovincialis (Mediterranean mussel)
Lineage: Eukaryota; Metazoa; Mollusca; Bivalvia; Mytilida; Mytilidae
Source: RNAcentral
AGCCGUUCGAUUUCGUAUUCCCAUUGUCAUUUCGUCCAAAAGACUAUUGAUUCACCUAGGGUAUCUGUGUUACAAAUGACCUUCUACCGUUGUCGUAGAAACCUCUCAUUUGAUUUUAAAAUGACCCUCGUGAGAAACACCACGGGUGUCUUGCAAGAAGCAGGACCUGCUUACCUUCGGAGCACCGGAGGUCGCCACAUUUUUUCGGGGUCCGUGUUUUUCAUCUGUAGUUAGUUUUCAAUGUUGAAAGUUUUUGCUUGUCAUUUUGUGUCUUAUCUGUUUCCCGGGUUUCCAAAUUACGAAACCCACUAGGAUGUUACUAUCGUUUCUUGAAAUAUGGUAUAGUAAGAAACAGAUAGGGUAUUUAUCAUUUUCAUCAUAAAAUGGUCCAAAAAAAAUUUCGCCUCGCUCCACUCGGCGAUAUAUGCUUGCACUUUAUUUCAACUCAGCUACGCCCCUGACACGAACAAAGAAAAAAACAAACAAAUACUGAAACGUUUCACUAUCGAUCAAAAAUCCGGAA